AGUGAACGCUGGCGGUAGGCCUAACACAUGCAAGUCGAACGGCAGCACAGUAAGAGCUUGCUCUUACGGGUGGCGAGUGGCGGACGGGUGAGGAAUACAUCGGAAUCUACUUUUUCGUGGGGGAUAACGUAGGGAAACUUACGCUAAUACCGCAUACGACCUACGGGUGAAAGCAGGGGAUCUUCGGACCUUGCGCGAUUGAAUGAGCCGAUGUCGGAUUAGCUAGUUGGCGGGGUAAAGGCCAACCAAGGCGACGAUCCGUAGCUGGUCUGAGAGGAUGAUCAGCCACACUGGAACUGAGACACGGUCCAGACUCCUGCGGGAGGCCGCAGUGGGGAAUAUUGGACAAUGGGCGCAAGCCUGAUACAGCCAUACCGCGUGGGUGAAGAAGGCCUUCGGGUUGUAAAGCCCUUUUGUUGGGAAAGAAAAGCAGCAGGUUAAUACCCCGCUGUUCUGACGGUACCCAAAGAAUAAGCACCGGCUAACUUCGUG
This 492-nucleotide ribosomal RNA is filed under the name uncultured bacterium. Its description in RNAcentral is "partial 16S ribosomal RNA". It matches the Rfam family "Bacterial small subunit ribosomal RNA", at positions 29 to 507 of the family's 1533-position model. The record is from RNAcentral.